Molecule: ribosomal RNA, 745 nt
Filed under: uncultured bacterium
Lineage: Bacteria
Description: bacterial SSU rRNA
Rfam family: Bacterial small subunit ribosomal RNA
Source: RNAcentral
CGCUGAAGCUCGAAAGUGCGGGUAUCGAACAGGAUUAGAUACCCUGGUAGUCCGCACGAGUAAACGAUGGAUGCCCGCUUUUCGGUCAUUAGACCGUGAGGCCAAGUGAAAACAUUAAGCAUCCCACCUGGGGAGUACGCCGGGCAACGGUGAAACUCAAAGGAAUUGACGGGGGCCCGCACAAGCGGAGGAACAUGUGGUUUAAUUCGAUGAUACGCGAGGAACCUUUACCCGGGCUUGAAUUGCAGAUGAAGGAUACAGAGAUGUUGACGCCCUUCGGGGCAUCUGUGAAGGUGCUGCAUGGUUGUCGUCAGCUCGUGCCGUGAGGUGUCGGCUUAAGUGCCAUAACGAGCGCAACCCCUCUCUUCAGUUGCCAUCAGGUAAUGCUGGGCACUCUGGAGACACUGCCACCGCAAGAUGUGAGGAAGGUGGGGAUGACGUCAAAUCAGCACGGCCCUUACGUCCGGGGCUACACACGUGUUACAAUGGGGGGUACAGAAAGCCGGCUGCCCGCAAGGUCAGUCCAAUCAAGAAAGCCCCUCUCAGUUCGGACUGGAGUCUGCAACCCGACUCCACGAAGCUGGAUUCGCUAGUAGUCGCGCAUCAGCCAUGGCGCGGUGAAUACGUUCCCGGGCCUUGUACACACCGCCCGUCAAGCCAUGAAAGCCGGGGGCGCCUGAAGUCCGUUACCGCAAGGAUCGGUCUAGGGCGAAACUGGUAAUUGGGGCUAAGUCGUAACAAGGUA